Molecule: ribosomal RNA, 392 nt
Filed under: uncultured bacterium
Lineage: Bacteria
Description: partial 16S ribosomal RNA
Rfam family: Bacterial small subunit ribosomal RNA
Source: RNAcentral
AUACGGAGGAUGCGAGCGUUAUCCGGAUUUAUUGGGUUUAAAGGGUGCGUAGGCUGUUUGUCAAGUCAGGGGUGAAAUACCUGGGCUCAACCGAGGAAUUGCCUUUGAUACUGGCAGGCUUGAAUCCUGUUGCCGCGGGAGGAAUGAGUAGUGUAGCGGAGAAAUGCAUAGAUAUUACUCAGAACACCGAUUGCGAAGGCAUCUCACGAAACAGCGAUUGACGCUGAGGCACGAAAGCGUGGGGAUCAAACAGGAUUAGAUACCCUGGUAGUCCACGCAGUAAACGAUGAUAACUAACCGUUGGCGAUAGACAGUCAGUGGCCAAGCGAAAGCGAUAAGUUAUCCACCUGGGGAGUACGACCGCAAGGUUGAAACUCAAAUGAAUUGACGGG